RNAcentral lists this ribosomal RNA (383 nucleotides) under uncultured beta proteobacterium. RNAcentral's name for it is "bacterial SSU rRNA". It matches the Rfam family "Bacterial small subunit ribosomal RNA", at positions 282 to 657 of the family's 1533-position model. The record is from RNAcentral. Lineage: Bacteria; Pseudomonadati; Pseudomonadota; Betaproteobacteria.
CGUAGCUGGUCUGAGAGGACGAUCAGCCACACUGGAACUGAGACACGGUCCAGACUCCUACGGGAGGCAGCAGUGGGGAAUUUUGGACAAUGGGCGCAAGCCUGAUCCAGCCAUGCCGCGUGAGUGAAGAAGGCCUUCGGGUUGUAAAGCUCUUUCGGUGGGGACGAAAAGGUCCGUGCUAAUACCACGGACUAAUGACGGUACCCGAAGAAGAAGCACCGGCUAACUACGUGCCAGCAGCCGCGGUAAUACGUAGGGUGCAGGCGUUAAUCGGAAUUACUGGGCGUAAAGCGUGCGCAGGCGGUUUGUUAAGACAGAUGUGAAAUCCCCGGGCUUAACCUGGGAACUGCGUUUGUAACUGGCAAGCUAGAGUGUGGCAGAGG